This 479-nucleotide long non-coding RNA is filed under the name Gossypium raimondii (Peruvian cotton). RNAcentral describes it as "long non-coding RNA (GRAI_LNC004901)". The record is from RNAcentral. Lineage: Eukaryota; Viridiplantae; Streptophyta; Magnoliopsida; Malvales; Malvaceae.
UCAAUAAAAUAAGUAGAUAUCGUUUUUCACUCAACUAUUUUCUUCCUUUCUCAUGGUGCUUUCAUUUACGAAUCUCAAAACACUUUUGUUCUCACUGAAAUGGCGUUCAAGACCACACUGGCAAUGUUUUAACGACAUUGACCAAAUUUGGGAAAAUUUUCUGGUGAAUGUAUUCUGGGAAGAUAUCAGCAUGGCGGAUUUUCUGGAAAAGACGACACUCCAGUGAAGCCAGAUGUUUAAAGCUUGGUGGGAUUACUGAUUGGGUUUUUUUUCUUCAUAUGUUCUGGUGUUUUAUUUUUUAUUUUUUAAUUAUGGUAGGUUGUUGUUUUGUUUCUGCUAGUUGACACCAGGUGCCUUAUUUUGAUUUUGUAGUGUUGUAGCGUGUAUGCCUUGCCCCUGUCCUGAUUAUAUCUUGUUACAAGCCCUUAUUAACAAAACGUUUGAUUGGUGGAGAAAAUGGCAUUAUCUAUUUAUAGUGA